AGCCAAGCGUUCAUAGCGACGUUG
RNAcentral lists this non-coding RNA (24 nucleotides) under Arabidopsis thaliana (thale cress). Lineage: Eukaryota; Viridiplantae; Streptophyta; Magnoliopsida; Brassicales; Brassicaceae. The record is from RNAcentral.